GGGACGAGGGAUGGAGGGAUGGAGGGAGGAGGGAAGACGGCGCCCCGCCCUCCUCCUCCUCCUCCUCCUCCUCCGCUCUCCACAUGCACGCGCGCACGCCGCCGAUUGCUCACACGGGCCGGCAGGACAUCGGAGACGUCAUGGUGUCAGCGCUCAUCUCGCUGUGUCGGUGCUCACACACUUUUGCUUUGAAAGUUUACUGUCAAUGCAAGCAGACAGAGCGGAGAGAAUCAAUGCCUUAAACUUCGGCUGGGAACUGAUAAACAAACAUCUUGAAGCAAGCGCACUUUGCAUCUUAUUUGGAGAUUCUUGUCUUCUGUUGAUAGUCUCUCAUUUCUUGGCAGCCAGAGUAAGAACAGGCGCUGAGGAUGUUUGAAUAAGUUGUGUAUAUAUAUCUCUCUCUCUAUAUCUAUAUCUAUAUCUAUAUAUGCGCAGUAUAUUGUAUGUAUCCUGUGAUAAUCCUGGUUUGAAUUUACACGCAGUAAAAAAAGCACAAGUCAAACUACAGGAACGUGCUAACUUCUUUUUGCUAUUAAAAUACAUUCAAAAUGA
Molecule: long non-coding RNA, 552 nt
Organism: Phyllopteryx taeniolatus (common seadragon)
Lineage: Eukaryota; Metazoa; Chordata; Actinopteri; Syngnathiformes; Syngnathidae
Exons: 2
Source: RefSeq, a predicted model, not a curated record